RNAcentral lists this ribosomal RNA (385 nucleotides) under uncultured bacterium. RNAcentral's name for it is "bacterial SSU rRNA". It matches the Rfam family "Bacterial small subunit ribosomal RNA", at positions 355 to 739 of the family's 1533-position model. The record is from RNAcentral.
UGAGGAAUAUUGCUCAAUGGGGGAAACCCUGAAGCAGCAACGCCGCGUGAGGGAUGAAGGCGCUCUGCGUUGUAAACCUCUGUAGUUGGGGACAAAUGUGGGGUUAUUACCCCAUUGAUGGUACCCAAAAAGUAAGGAUCGGCUAACUACGUGCCAGCAGCCGCGGUAAUACGUAGGAUCCGAGCGUUGUCCGGAUUUACUGGGUGUAAAGGGUGCGCAGGCGGACUGGUAAGUCAGUGGUGAAAUCUCGUCGCUUAACGACGAAACUGCCUUUGAUACUAUCAGUCUUGAGUCCGGUAGAGAUCUGUGGAAUUCCGAGUGUAGCAGUGAAAUGUGUAGAUAUUCGGAAGAACACCAGUGGCGAAGGCAGCAGAUUGGGCCGGUA